GUCUUCUCGUUUGUUUGGGAAGUCUGGCCUGCCCGGUGAUAUUAUUUAACGGCCGCGGUAUUUUGACCGUGCAAAGGUAGCAUAAUCAUUAGUCUUUUAAUAGGAGGCUGGAAUGAAAGGUUUGACGAGGUGUUAGCUGUCUCAUUUUAAUUUAUAGAAUUUGACUUUUUAGUUAAAAGGCUAAAAUCUUAUUGGAAGACGAGAAGACCCUAUAGAGCUUUACAUUUAUAUUUAUAAUAGCUUAUAGGAAAUAAUUUGUUAUUGUUUUUGUAAUUGUUUUGUUGGGGUGACAAGAAAAUAUAUUUAACUUUUAUUAUUUAAUUUCCAUUUGUUUAUGAUUAUUAGGUCCAUUAUUAUUGAUCAUUAGAACAAGUUACCUUAGGGAUAACAGCGUAAUCUUCUUUCAGAGUUCAAAUUUACAAGAAGGCUUGCGACCUCGAUGUUGGAUUAAGAUGAUUUUUGGGUGUAGCCGCUCAAUUAAUAGGUCUGUUCGACCUUUAAAUUCUUACAUGAUCUGAGUUCAGACCGG
RNAcentral lists this ribosomal RNA (529 nucleotides) under Sinocnemis sp. BOLD:ACF9970. RNAcentral describes it as "partial 16S ribosomal RNA". It matches the Rfam family "Bacterial large subunit ribosomal RNA", at positions 1831 to 2619 of the family's 2925-position model. The record is from RNAcentral. Lineage: Eukaryota; Metazoa; Arthropoda; Insecta; Odonata; Megapodagrionidae.